GCUUAACAGAAGGACCGAGUGAUUAAAUGGUGAGAACUGCCCUCUGGGAGCUGGGGAGGAAACGCUGGAGGUUGAAAUCCGUAAAAACCCUUGAACAGCAAGAUCCUGAGAGCUUCGGAGUUGGUAAGCACAUCCACGUGCCAGGAGGGUGGUGCACCCCAAUUUCAUGGAGACAGAAGUUCUUCUGCUCAGGACCCUUCCUUAACUCUCCCUGUGUACUUCUUAUCUGGCUGUUGAUUUGUAUCCUUUAUGAUCAACUGUCCAUAAAAUAAUGACAUGCCUUAGAAUACAUGGCAUUUUGGAUUUGAUGAAAUACAGCCGUGCUUACCCAGUGCGAGGCACUGUCUAUUUCAAUCUCACAACAACCCUGUGAGGAUCCUGCAGAGAUCAAAAGGAAAAUAAGGAAGUACUAAGAACAACUCUAUACACAUUUGACAACUUAGAUGAAAAAGACCAAUUCCCCCCAAAACACAAACUGUCACAACUUACUUAAGAUGAAACAGAUAACUUGAGUAGCUGAUCCUAUAACUACUAAGGAAACUGAAUUCAUAACUUAAAAACUUGCCCCAAAUGAAAGCAUCAGAUCCAGAUGGUUUCACUGGAAAAGCCUAUGAAACAUUUAAAGAAUUGACACCAAUUCUACACAAUCUCUUCCAGAGAGUAGAAAAAGAAUUUUCAUAACAUAUUAAACUAGUAUUUCCCUGAUACCAAAACCAAAUAAAAAUAGUAAAAAAAAAAAAAAGAAAACUACAAAUCAGUUCUUAUCAUGAAUAUACAUGUAAAAAUCCUUAACAAAAUAUUAGCAAAUAGAAUUCAGCAUUGUAUAAAAAGAAUCAUACACUACAGCAAAAUGAAUAUUAUUCCCAGGAUGCAAGGUUAAUUCAACACUUGAAAAUCAGUUACUAUAAUCCACUUUAAAGUCUAAAGGAGAAAAAUCACUCACUCAGUCCUAUCAAUUAUUCCAGGAAAAGCAUUUGACAGAAUUCAACAUCCAUUCUUGAUAAAGACUCCUAGAAAAAAAGGAAGAGAAGGAAACUUCAACUCGAUACAGAAAAUCUACAGCUAACAUUUUACUUACUGGAGAAAGGCUGAAUGCUUUCUCCCAGAUUUCAGGAACACAGCAAGUAUUUCCACUUCCAUCACUCUUAGUCAACAUAAUGCAGAAGUUCUAGUGAGAGUAUUAAGGCAGGAAAAUAAAAUUAAAGGCAUAAUGAUUGGAAGAAACAAACAAAAAUGGCACUAUUAGCAAAUGGCAUGAAUGUCUGCCUAAAACCUCAGGGAAUCUACCCAAAAAAAACCUCCUAAAAUUAAAAAGUAAGUUCAUCAAUGUUAUAGUAUACAAGAUCCACAUAGUAAAAUCAAUUAUACCUCUAUAUGGGCUAUGGUUUUUCCUGUGGUCAUGUAUGGAUGUGAGAGUUGGACUAUGAAGAAGGCUGAGCACAGAAGAAUUGAUGCUUUUGAACUGUGGUGUUGGAGAAGACUCUUGAGAGUCCCUUGGACUGCAAGGAGAUCCAACCAGUCCAUUCUGAAGAUCAGCCCUGGGAUUUCUUUGGAAGGAAUGAUGCUAAAGCUGAAACUCCAGUACUUUGGCCACCUCAUGCGAAGAGUUGACUCAUUGGAAAAGACUCUGAAGCUAGGAGGGAUUGGGGGCAGGAGGAGGAGGGGACGACAGAGGAUGAGAUGGC
Bos taurus (domestic cattle) is the source of this 1685-nucleotide long non-coding RNA. The record is from Ensembl. NCBI's taxonomy places the organism in Eukaryota, Metazoa, Chordata, Mammalia, Artiodactyla, Bovidae.